RNAcentral lists this unclassified non-coding RNA (263 nucleotides) under plant metagenome. Its description in RNAcentral is "partial contains small subunit ribosomal RNA, internal transcribed spacer 1, and 5.8S ribosomal RNA". The record is from RNAcentral.
UUUCCGUAGGUGAACCUGCGGAAGGAUCAUUAUUGUAUAACCGAGGUGCGAGGGCUGUCGCUGACCCGAAAGGUCGUGCACGCCCGAGUGCCCUCACACACAUCCAUCUCACCCCUAUGUGGACCACCGCGUGGGUCCCCCUUUGGCUUGUUCGGAGGGGGGCUUACGUUUUCACACAAACUUUGUAUGCAGUGUAGAAUGUAUUUUUUGUUUUUGCGAUCACGCAAUCAAUACAACUCUCAACAACGGAUCUCUUGGCUCUC